Long non-coding RNA from Populus euphratica (Euphrates poplar), 101 nucleotides. RefSeq lists it as uncharacterized. NCBI's taxonomy places the organism in Eukaryota, Viridiplantae, Streptophyta, Magnoliopsida, Malpighiales, Salicaceae. The transcript is spliced from 3 exons. The record is from RefSeq and is a predicted model, not a curated record.
AUGGGUGUUUUUGGUGGGUAAUUACUAUUAUCCUGCAAGCAUGGAUCGAUGGUAUUAAUAUUAUUGUUUUUUUUAUUAAAAUAACAUAUAAAAUUAACCCU